GCAGACCCCUCGUGCGGCAUCAACUCGCCCGAACUCCCCCAGGGCCGGAAGGCAGCAAGUAGGUGAGCUCUGGUGGGUGCGCGAGGGGUCCUUUCG
This 96-nucleotide signal recognition particle RNA is filed under the name Cellulosimicrobium sp. CUA-896. Its description in RNAcentral is "Bacterial small signal recognition particle RNA". It matches the Rfam family "Bacterial small signal recognition particle RNA". Rfam says of the family: The signal recognition particle (SRP) is a universally conserved ribonucleoprotein involved in the co-translational targeting of proteins to membranes. Archaeal SRP consists of a 7S RNA and homologues of the eukaryotic SRP19 and SRP54 proteins. In most bacteria, the SRP consists of a 4.5S RNA and the Ffh protein (a homologue of the eukaryotic SRP54 protein). Lineage: Bacteria; Bacillati; Actinomycetota; Actinomycetes; Micrococcales; Promicromonosporaceae. The record is from Rfam by way of RNAcentral.